RNAcentral lists this long non-coding RNA (9509 nucleotides) under Salvia miltiorrhiza (redroot sage). RNAcentral describes it as "long non-coding RNA (SMIL_LNC006220)". The record is from RNAcentral. Lineage: Eukaryota; Viridiplantae; Streptophyta; Magnoliopsida; Lamiales; Lamiaceae.
GAACGCGAGUUUGGAGAAGGUCGGAUUGAUCAAGGCUAGCUUUGUCCCAACAAACAAAGUGACCGACGAUGAAGUGGAGAAGCUCUAUCAAAUGGGGAAAUACGACUUCCAAGCACCACCUCUCUUCAUGCUCAUAUUGUGCACCCUUUACUUGCUUAAUCUUGCUUCCUUCGUCGUCGGAUUUGUGAAGAUUUUGCAGAAUGGGAAGAUGAUGAAUGAGAUGGUGAUGCAGGCUUUUCUACCAUUGUUUGGCGUAGUUCUGCAUUUGCCUUUGAUGGAAGGGAUGGUGUUGAGGAAGGAUAAAGGCCGAGUUUCGCCGCCGGUGGCGCUUCUUUCAGCUGUAAUUUCCUCUCUAGUUUUGGCUUAUGCAGCCCUUGUUCAUUAAUAUCAUGCAAGCUAGUGUAUGCUUUGGUUAUUUGUUGUCUCGUUACGGGGUGUUAACUUUGGAGGAUUAGUCUAUAAUAAGGUUAAUCUCCUUUUAUCUUGAUGAAUUGGAACUUUAAGAUAAGACCCUUGAUUAUUUUUAUCAUUUAAGUUAAUUUUGUUUGAUUUUUAUUCCAUCGAAAUGCUAGGAUUAGAGAAUUUCUAGUCUUUGUGAUAAAAAAUACUCAAUCAUGCAUUUUAUUCAUUUUAUAUUGUGUUUUAAUAUAUUCAUCCAAUUAGAAUCUAUAUAUAAUUAUUUUUUAUAUUUAUUUGAAUUACUAAUGGCUUAAUUAAUUCAAAAUCUUCUUAAAUUUCAGUUUUUAGUGAUAAUUAUCAAUUAAGUUCAUUAUGUAUAAAUAAUAUAAUUUUUAAUAAUAACGAUUUAUAUAUAAAAAAAUUAGAAUGUGACACAAUAACACACGAUAAAUUAUGGAAAAUAGGAUCUCCUCCGUUCAACUAACUAGUGCGCCUGAUGGUGUCUCGCACAUCAUGACAUAAUUUAGUACUGCCUCUCUCUAUGAAAAAGAGUUUUAUUUUCCCUCAUUUUUUGUCCACGGAAAAGAGUAAAAAGGAAGUAGGACACUUGUUAUGGGAUGAAGGGAGUAAUAAAUAUUGUACACAAGUAAUAACCUCUGAUCAGGAUCGGUCAUGUAUCUCAUAGAACCCUAAGCAAAAAAUUGAAAAUGGGCUUUUAUAAUUUUCUUUUAUAUUAACGAUACAACAAUAGUAUAUUUCAACCAAUUAUUUAAGAGAGUUUUGAAUCAAUAGAGAAGAAAACAUAAGGUACUAAGAAUUCAACAUUAAUGGUUUGCUCUAAAUGACGAAAAAAAACUUUCAUAAGACGAAGCACUGUAAAUAGUACCUUAUUAAUUAGCAAAAAUAUUUUUAUAUAUAUACUAUUAAUAUAUAUAAAAAAAAAUAGGACCCCAAAAAUUAGGGUCCUAAUAGCGGCAGCAUAUCGAGCAUGUGUUCAGGUACUCGCCUGUCUCUCAUCAAUCAUAAUCUUUUAUAAAUAAACAGCUGUCUCUCACCAACCAUAAUCUUUUAUAAGUAAACAAAUACUCAUAAAGUCAUAAAUAGAACUAGAGCUAGCACUACUAAUCACUGAGGAAGAAAAAAUAAAAAUAAAAAAAUUAAGAGAUGGAGAAAUCACUCCCUCUUCCUCUGAAUGAUUGGCAAGUUCAGAAAAGAAACAGAGCAAUAAACAGGCUCCAUGGUUUCAUCCAUGGCGGUGCCCUAGCUGCCCUAUUUUACUACAGAAUCACAACCAUCGCCGCCAUAGCCAAAAGCAGCAGCUCCAUUCUUCCCCACCUUCUCAUCUUCGCCGCCGAGCUCACUCUCUCAUGCAUGUGGCUGCUCAGCCAGGCUUCGCUGUGGAACCCGGUCACGCGAAACGCCUACCCGGAGAGGCUGCCCGGAGACGAUAAUCUGCCCGCCAUCGACGUGUUCGUGUGCACCGCCGAUCCCGCGAAGGAGCCGAGCUUGGGUGUGAUGAACACCGUGAUAUCGGCCAUGGCGCUCGACUACCCGCCGCACAAGCUCCAUCUCUAUCUCUCCGACGACGGGGGCUCCCCGUCACGCUCCGCGCCCUUAGACGGGCGCGGAGCUUCCGCGAAGCUGUGGAUUCCGUUUUGCAGGAAGUUUGGGGUGAAGAAUAGGUGCCCUCAGGCUUAUUUCUUGAGAGAGGAGAUUGGUGGCAAUGGUGAUCACUUCUUUGUUGAGAAGAAGGCAAUCGAGGUUUGUCUUCUUGCACAAAAAUAGUAAAAUAUAAAUAUACAGUACUCUCUUUAUCUCAUGACCUAAUUUUUUUUAUACAAUUAAUUAUUAAGAAAAAUAAGAUUAUAGUGUAAAGUAUGUGGGCCUCUAAUCUAUUAUAAUAAAAAUUUGUUAAUUACCCAAAAUGGAAAUAUGCCAAGUCGGAUGAAUUGUUCCAAAAAGAAAGUAGGCCAGUGAAGUGGGACGGAGGGAGUAUAUCUCUCUACUGUCGGUGGUCACCAGUUACUCACCCCUUUAUAAUUCUUGAAAAUUGUGGUUUUUCUUAUUUGGAAAUAAUCCCAAAAACUUUCGCAUUGACUAUUUACAAAAAAAUGUGAAAUUCAAUUUCCACUCAAAAAUAUAACCAUAUAUUUUUUUUCUUAAAAAUCAUGCUACUUUCUUCAAACCACAUUUUUAGUGACCGAGGAAUAUCAUCCACAUUAUGGAGAACUAUAUGUAUAAGUCUAUUUCGAUACUUGAAAGUUGAGAUAUAUUUGAUUAUUUGGCAUUUAUUUUUAGUAGCUAAAUGGUAUGUGCGACAUAUUAUGAUGAAGUUAAUUAAUAUAUAGUGCAAUUUUAAAGAAUUUUAUAUAUAAAAUGAAUUCUUUUUUUUAACUAUAUAUAUAUAUAUAAUGAAUUAUAUAUAUGUAUGUACAUACAUUACUAAAUCAUUUUUUGUAAAUUAAAAUAUAUAAGAAUAUUAUUCUUUUAUACAUUAAUACUAAAACCAGCCUGUGUUAAUUACUUCUACUUUGUAUAAUGCAGAAAGCGUACGACGAUUUCAAGAUUUCUUUGGGCAAGAUUGUUGCUGAAGCUGACGUUGGGGCCAGCAGGGACCAUGCACCAAUUAUUGAGGUAUUAAAAAAUUAUUUAAUGUGGUCAAUAGUUUUGUGGUUUGGAAUAAUUAAUUUUUAUAUAAAAAUCUAAUACUAUAAAGUUUUGCUAAACGACGAAGAUCUCCUCGGCAGUUUAUGUUUGUGAGAGUGAGAUAUUGUUUUUUGAAGGGAAACGUUACUAAAGAAUACAUGUGAAUAUUUUGUUAAUUAGAAGAUAAUUAAUGAUUUCCAUAUUUAUUUUAAUAGAUUAUACAAGAGCUGCUGAUUUCACGUGAGUCAAUAAGCACAAUAUAUACAAUUAUACAAAUGUGUGAGUUCAUAAGCGAAAUACAAAAUAAAUUAACACGAAAUCGACAUAUCAUAAAAUUACAGGGUGAUUUUCGUGGGACGGGAUUCAGUGUCUCAUAAUUUUAUAUGGGUCACUAUAUCCCACUAAUAAUAAUAAUAAUAAUAAUAAUAAUAAUAAUAAUAAUAAUAAUAAUAAUAAUAAUAAUAAUAAUAAUAAUAAUAAUAAUAAUAGUAGUAGUAGUAGUAGUAGUAGUAGUAGAUGUGGAGCCAAAGUGCGCACCCAUAUAAUAUAUGUAUGCGAAGAAACUAACCUUAAAAUGAACAUGAAAAAGCCUCUCAUACAAAAACAUGACAAUAAUUUCACUCGAAAUAAAAGAAAACCCAUGUUGCAUAGGUACGGAGGUGCGGAUGCGGGGGCGAUACGAUACGAGUACGAGGAUACGGGUUUUUAAAAAUUAUAGGGUACGAUUCGGCAAUGAUACAUCUAAUUAUUAAAAUUUUAUGAUAUAUAAUGCUUAUAAAAUAAAGAGUUAUAUUUUUACGAUAUGAUAUAAGCAUUUUCAAUUAUAUAAAUUAAUUGAGCAACAAUAUAACGAUUCAAAUAUUAUUAGUCCAAUAUAUAAGUUAUAACUGAAAAUAAAAUUAUCAACAUAGCCUUGUGUAGGCCUUUCGUGCACGAGAUACGUGAAUUUCGCAGAUAAAAUUUGCGAAUCCGGUUUAUUUUUAUAAAUUAUUUUAAAAGAUAAGCAGGGCUAAUCGGGUGCGAAUACGACGAGAAUCCGAGAGAAUCGCAUUCUAAAAGAAUCCGAUUCGUCAUACAUGUUAAUUUUUGAAGAAUCCGUGCACUAUAGAAGAAAACAUGAUCCUUCGACAACAUAAAAAUUUCCUUAAAAAAACCUGAAUCUGUUAUACUUCCUUCGUCCCACGAAGCAUGACGCAGUUUCCUUUUUGUUCUGUCUCACGAAGCAUGACACAUUUCUAAAAAUGACAAAAAAUUUACCUUUUAUUCACAUUUUCACUUUUUCACCUACCAUACUUAACACAUAAAAUACCAAUUUCUUGAUUCUCGUGUCGAAAAGAAGUGUGUCAUACUUCAUGGGAUGAAGGAGGGAGCAUUAAGGGGUGAGAAUUAGGGGCGAGUUACUCAACCAAAAAAAAAAGAAAAAAGAAAAAAAUAACAGAAAGGUGUGAGUAAGGUUGGGCAAUAAUUGGGGCGGGGGAAUAUUCCGGCGGGCGGUGGAGCACUAUGUACAUUGGGCAGUGGCCGCCUUGGGAAGUGAGAAUUCUUUUGACAGCAAUGCUUAUUGUUAUUACUGUCGUCUCUGAUUUUGGUGGGGUUUAAGGGAUCAUUUUCUGCCGCCUGCCCCCCCUCUACACUAGCACUAGCCCCUCCCCAAUUUUCUCACUCUCCCAUUCCUCAUCAUUUUAUUCUAUUCUUUUCUCGUUUUUUUAUUUAUUUAUUUUAUCGUAUUCCUAAAUUUCAAGAACCAUGUUACGCAACUUCUUACCACCAAAAUCCAAAAUACCUCCAUUAAUCAAUACCGCAAAUUAUUGGGUCGCCCCGCGCUCAUGCCCAUUCGCACUCCUGACCCGCACGUUUUUGACUCGCGUUUUAUAUUAUUAUAUUUACUAGUACGCCCGUCUGUGCGAUGCACAGAGAGCAUCAAAAUUGAGCGACAUAUUUUUUAAGUCGUACAAUACACAGAUUAUGAUAUAUUUUUAUUAUAUAUAUAUAUAUAUAUAUAUAUAUAUAUANUUAUUUGUCCUUUAAAAUUUACAAGUAAAUAAUUCAUAUAUAAUUACUUAUUAUUAUUAUUAUUAUUAUUAUUAUUAUUAUUAUUAUUAUUAUUAUUAUUAUAUUUAUUAUUAUUAUUAUUAUUAUUAUUAUUAUUAUUAUUAUUAUUAUAUAAGGUGGAAGAUUUGUUAGGAUCUUCUUUACAGUGAUUGAAACAAUUAAUAAGUCGAAACGUGUAUAGAUCCACGAAUAUGUAUACUACAUGCAAGAUUACGACUUUAAACUCACUCAAUUUAAGUUGGUGUAUUGUUUUUUCCGAAAGGUGAAACAUCUAUUAUUGGAAAGCAUAGAAUAAAAAUCUAUUAAUGCAUGUCUACUUCAAUACAGAUUUUAUUUCACACGUAAAUAAUAUAUGUAUAUAUAUAGAUAUACGUAAUACUCAUCAUCUGGCCCACGAAUCUUGAGUCAAUUUCCUUUUUCGGUCAUCCCACGAAUCUUGAGUCAUUUCUACACGAAUCUUGAGUCAUUUCUACAUGUAGUAAAAAAUGAGAAAAAAAGGGAUUCUAAUUAAACUUAUACUCCCUCCGUCCCACCAUUUUAGUCCCCUCCCACUUUUCACACAUAUUAAGAAAAUGUAUUUAAUUUUUAUAUUUUUAUCUUUUAUACCCUUAUUUAUUAUUUUCACACAUCAUUUUCACAUUUAAGUGAAGCAUUAAAUAAGGUUAAUUUAGUAAAAACAAUAUUUUUAUAUAGUAUUAAUUAGAAAAGUGGACUAUCUUUUUGGGACAUCUCAAAAUGGAAUAAGAGACUAAAAUGGCGGGACGGAGGGAGUAUUAAUUAAUAAAAUUGCGUACUUCCAAUUAAUAAUCAACGGCUAAUAUUGACAGGUGAUCAGCGAUGCAAAUUCCAACGGUACGGAUUCGAGCAGCAAUGAAGAGAUGCCGUUUGUCGUUUACGUUGCUCGCGAAAAACGGCCAUCUCACCCCCACAAUUUCAAAGCAGGGGCCCUCAACGUUCUUGUAAUUAAAUUCACACACAUAAUAUUCCUAAAUCUUUUAAUAUUCAGUUUUUUAUCCCAUUAUCUUAAGUUUAUAAAGUAUGACAUUUUUCAUAUACAACAUCAAAAAUAGGGCAUUUUUGCCUGUUAACACUAUACGAAACCUAUUAACUCUAGGAAUGCAAUAUGUUGAAAUUCAUGGCUUUUAAUUUGUAUAAAAUAAGAGAAGAGAAAGAGAGAUUCAAAGAUAAUAUUUUUUUAAUAUAUUAUGCCUUAUUUUCCCAUGAUAUAUUUAUCGAUAAAAGAGAACACAUUCUUAUGGUACAAUCGAUUCAUAUUUCCAAUAUGCUGAAUUUCUCACUGAUAUUUUUCAUCUCCCAAAUAAAUACGCAUUUGAGAAUGACACGAGUUUCAAAAAAUAAUUGAGUGUGCGAGUAGGGAAUAAGGGUCGUCUCGUUUAUUGUGAGUGGGUAGUGUUCAGUUUCGAGUAUCCAUUUUUAUUGUGAAUGGAUUGUGUGCAGCUCCGAGUAUCGGGCAUGAUCAGCAAAUCGCCGUACAUCUUGACGCUGGACUGCGACAUGUACUGCAACGAUCCGACGUCGGCACGUCAAGCGAUGUGCUUCCAUCUCGACCCUAAACUCUCCGAGAAUCUUGCAUUUGUGCAGUUCCCACAACGAUUUCACAACAUCAGACGCAACCCUGAUAUCUACGAUGGUGCCGUGAGAUUCAUUUGGGUAAGUAAUUAACUAACAAUAUUACAUUUAUCAUGUUACAACUAUGGAUAAUUUUGCAUUAUUUUGAUUAAUUUGCAUUGAUUUCAGAAAAAAUGGGAAGGCUUCAAUGGUCUUCGAGGGCCAGUCUUGUCGGGGACGGGGUUUUAUAUAAAGAGAGAAGCACUCUAUGGAACUCGGAAGCUUCAAUCAAGUAAUGUCACAAAUUUGGCUCAUCACUGCAUUUUGUGUGUGAAAAUUGAGCAACUUGUUCAAUCUCGUAAAUUUAUUCAUCAUAUUUUUUUUAUGUAGCGUAGACUGAUUUGGAAAUUAGGACAAAAACUAAUGGGCUUGCAAAAGCAUAGGACAUUAAUUAAUAAGACAUAAGUGCACUCGCAGAAAAAUUCUCAGCCCAUUUUAAGAGUUUCAGACUUAAUAAUUCCAAACUAAAAUGGGCCGAAAACUAAAUUUUCAAAUUUAUAAAAAUAGGACACUAAUUUAAAUGGGCCGAGAAUUGUCUUAGUGGUGCAAUAUAACUAUACUUUUGCAAAUCCAAUAGGUCACUCUCUGCUGAUUGAUGAGUUAGAGUUUUCAAAUCAGUCUAAGUUGUUGUCCUAAAAACCCUCUAACUCCCAGAAAUCACUAACGGGCUAGAACUAUCAUUAAAUCAAUUUAUGAGACUAAACGAGUGUAUUUUACCUUUUUGGUACCAUCAUUUAUUUGUAUAUUGAUUGAUUUUACACCUCGCUUCUUUUACUUUUUCGAGUAGAUGUUGAUCUUAACGAGCUCAAGAAGUAUUACGGCUCAUCCAACGAGUUCAUCAAGUCGAUUUAUAGAAAUUACAAACUAAAUAGUCGAAGCAAUGCAUUGCUCAACGAUGAGGCAUUCAAGCAAGAGGUGCAAUUGGUAGCUUCAUGUAGCUAUGACAAUGGCUCACAAUGGGGGAAAGAGGCAAGUUCUAAUUUUAUUCCAACUAAUAUUCUAGUUACAAUAAUGAGUUGUAGAGAGAGAUGUUCAAUUAAGAAUACUAAAUGUGUUGAGAAUUGGUAAUUCGUACGAACAAUUGUGAACAAGUUAUUUAUUUUGAUGAGCAAUCGUUUUGGUCCGAGGUUCAAAUUCUGGAGGUGACGAAAUAUUUAAAUAGAUACGUUUGUUCAUCACUUGUAUUGGUAUGUUCGACAAACUUAUCGAUUUUGUUCAUUAUACUUAUUUCUUACGAAAAAUCAAAUUCCAAAUAAAAUCUAACCCUUUAAAUCAAAAUGGAUGCAGGUUGGGUAUAGAUAUUUUGCGGUAGUGGAAGAUUAUUUCACAGGUUUCAAUCUGCAUUGUGAAGGCUGGAUUUCAGUGUAUGUUGAUCCCUCAAGGCCAUGCUUCUUGGGCACAUCUCCUCUAAGCCUAGGCGAAAUUCUUGUGCAAAACACACGAUGGUUUCUUGGAUUAGGUCAGGUUGCUCUGUCCAAAUAUUCUCCCAUGUUCUACGGGGCACUGAGAAUGUCGAUUUUGCAAAGCAUGAUCUAUGCAGAGGUAGCAUGUUAUGCCGUUUACUUCCUUCCCGUUUACAUUCUAGCCCUCGUUCCUCAGCUCUGUCUCGUUCGCGGCGUCCCUCUCUAUCCUGAGGUAUGCAGAGAGUCAAAAUUCAUUUAAGAAUGCUAUAUCAGGAUUGUCCGCAGAAAUAGGUCAAUUUUUUUUCGAACUUGUAGAAUUAUGUUCAUUGUCUUAAAUUUCGGCACUCGUGGGUAACAUUUUGACUCAAUUCAGCAUCCGUGAGACACAUUUGGGCCCAUCUGAAGUGCAAAAUAAUCUCAUUGAGCUCAAAUAUGGCCCACGCGCGGAGUAAGAGGUUUUUUAGGAUAUUGACUUAGACUAAGUUGGUUUGAAUAAAAAAUUUCGAACUUGCAAAAGUACGUAGGACACUAAAUGCAUCCAAAAGACAAUUCUCGGUCCAUUUUAAGAGUUUCUGGCUUAUUUGAAACUAAAAUGAGCUGAAAGUUAAAUUUCCAGGCUUGCAAAAGUAUGACACUAAGGCUCGAGAAUUGUCUUUUACGGGUGCACUACUUAUUAACUAAUGUCCUACACUUGCAAAUCCGAAUUUUUUUUUUGUCCUGAUUUUGAAAUUAGUCCAAGUUAGUGUUCUAAAAAAACCUAUAACUCCCACGGAUGCUGGAAUUUAAAAUAAUUGAGCAAUUUAUGUGAGCUCGAAAAAUUGGUCUAUUUUUGCAAAUCGGGCUCUAGUAGCUUAUUUUUGUCAAACACUUCCCAGGAGCUUACUCGUUGCUUAUGGUUGCAGGUUUCGAGUCCAUUCUUCGCGGUGUUUGUGUUUGUUUUCUUGUCGUCGCAGCUGAAACACGCGCAAGAGGUGUUGGCGUCGGGGGAUUCGAUCAAGACUUGGUGGGCGGAGCAGAGGGUGUGGAUGAUGAAGUCAUUGACAUCUUACUUCUUUGCUGCCGUGAACGCGAGUUUGGAGAAGGUCGGAUUGAUCAAUUCUAGCUUUGUCCCAACAAACAAAGUGACAGACGAUGAAGCAGAGAAGCUCUAUCAAAUGGGGAAAUACGACUUCCAAGCACCACCUCUCUUCAUGCUCAUACUGUGCACACUUUACUUGCUUAAUAUUGCUUCCUUCGUCGUCGGAUUUGUGAAGAUUUUGCAGAAUGGGAAGAUGAUGAAUGCGAUGGUGAUGCAGGCUUUUCUACCAUUGUUUGGCGUAGUUCUGCAUUUGCCUUUGAUGGAAGGGAUGGCGUUGAGGAAGGAUAAAGGCCGAGUUUCGC